CGAACGGGUGAGUAACACGUGGGCAACCUUUCCUAUCGCGGGGGAUAACACCGGGAAACCGAUGCUAAUACCGCAUGUCGGUCACUGGUCGUAUGGCUGGUGAAGAAAGCAGCAAUGCACGAUGGGGUGGGCCCGCGGCCUAUCAGCUAGUCGGUGGGGUAACGGCCUACCGAGGCGAUGACGGGUAGCUGGUCUGAGAGGACGGCCAGCCACACGGGGACUGAGACACGGCCCCG
This 236-nucleotide ribosomal RNA is filed under the name uncultured bacterium. Its description in RNAcentral is "partial 16S ribosomal RNA". It matches the Rfam family "Bacterial small subunit ribosomal RNA", at positions 99 to 334 of the family's 1533-position model. The record is from RNAcentral.